GUCAAACGGCAGCGGGGACUUCGGUCCGCCGGCGAGUGGCGAACGGGUGAGUAAAGUAUCGGAACGUACCUUUCAGUGGGGGAUAACGUAGCGAAAGUUACGCUAAUACCGCAUAUUCUGUGAGCAGGAAAGCAGGGGAUCGCAAGACCUUGCGCUGAUUGAGCGGCCGAUAUCAGAUUAGCUAGUUGGUGAGGUAAAGGCUCACCAAGGCGACGAUCUGUAGCGGGUCUGAGAGGAUGAUCCGCCACACUGGAACUGAGACACGGUCCAGACUCCUACGGGAGGCAGCAGUGGGGAAUUUUGGACAAUGGGGGCAACCCUGAUCCAGCCAUGCCGCGUGAGUGAAGAAGGCCCUCGGGUUGUAAAGCUCUUUCGGCCGGGAAGAAAUCGUAUGGGUUAAUACCCUGUGCGGAUGACGGUACCGGCAUAAGAAGCACCGGCUAACUACGUGCCAGCAGCCGCGGUAAUACGUAGGGUGCGAGCGUUAAUCGGAAUUACUGGGCGUAAAGCGUGCGCAGGCGGUUUUGUAAAACAGGCGUGAAAUCCCCGGGCUCAACCUGGGAACUGCGCUUGUGACUGCAAGGCUAGAGUAUGGCAGAGGGGGGUGGAAUUCCACGUGUAGCAGUGAAAUGCGUAGAGAUGUGGAGGAACAUCAAUGGCGAAGGCAGCCCCCUGGGUCAAUACUGACGCUCAUGCACGAAAGCGUGGGUAGCAAACAGGAUUAGAUACCCUGGUAGUCCACGCUCUAAACGAUGUCAACUAGGUGUUGGGUGGGUAAAACCAUUUUAGUAUCGUAUCUAACGCGUGAAGUUGACCGCCUGGGGAGUACGGCCGCAAGGUUAAAACUCAAAGGAAUUGACGGGGACUCGCACAAGCGGUGGAUGAUGUGGGAUUAAUUUCGAUGCAAACGCGA
This 913-nucleotide ribosomal RNA is filed under the name uncultured Rhodocyclaceae bacterium. RNAcentral's name for it is "bacterial SSU rRNA". It matches the Rfam family "Bacterial small subunit ribosomal RNA", at positions 61 to 964 of the family's 1533-position model. The record is from RNAcentral. Lineage: Bacteria; Pseudomonadati; Pseudomonadota; Betaproteobacteria; Rhodocyclales; Rhodocyclaceae.